Erythranthe guttata (spotted monkey flower) is the source of this 926-nucleotide non-coding RNA. Lineage: Eukaryota; Viridiplantae; Streptophyta; Magnoliopsida; Lamiales; Phrymaceae. The record is from RefSeq and is a predicted model, not a curated record.
UUAUUUGAGGAUUUGGUGGAUAAGGGUAUCGAACCAGACGAAGUUAUAUACAGAUUGAUGAUCGAUGCACUGCAUGAAGAUGGGAAUUUGGAGGAAGGGUUUAAGAAAUGGAACGAGCUUUUGGACAAGGGUGUGCUGAGAGGAAAAGUUAGUGAAAUACUCGUAACUGUAUGGUGCGGAAACGGAGAUAUUUCCGAGGUAUUGUCGUUGAUUGAGAAAACGGGAGUAGAAGGGUACAAGCCGAGUGUUGCCACGUGUGGUACCUUGGCUUAUGGUCUGAAAAGAGUAGGAUACAAAGAAGUAGAUAAGGUUCUUGAUGUUAUGGUGAGAUUCGGGUGGGUCCCGCCAUCCAUGAGUUUGAAUGAUUUGAUUGGACAAUAUCAACGAGGGAAUCUCGACAGCAAAAACGAGGUUUCUGGGCUGGCAGCGAAUGAAAUUGCUUGUCAGAUUUAAUCUUGAAAUUGAUUGAGGAUUUGCUAUUCUUUGUUAGUGAUCGAUCCAAGAACGGUCACUUUUUGUGCACCAAAAUCGAGAGAGAAUAUGCCCAUGCUUCGGAAAUUUCGGUGCCUUGGUGGUGAGGUAUUCGAUUGGCUGUCACCAUAAGCAUGCUCGGAUUUGGUCGACACGCGUAAAUGAGUUAAAUCUUUAUUGUGAAGAGCAAAAAGAUCCUCUAAUUAUAUUUUGUUUUGAUGAUGACGAAACUCUACACUGUGAUGUGCAGUGAGUGUAACAUAAAAUAAUUUGUCUUGUAAUAUAUAUGGUUAAUUUGUAAUUUUUUUAAUUUAUUGACUGGGAAGUACUUUACGUGAAUAAUCAACUUUUUUUUUUUCACUUACUCUGAUCAAUGAAACUUCCCUUAGAAAGAAGUUUGUAAUGUACAGAAUUGAGAGCAUUCAGAAUAAAGGCCAACAGUGAAUAUUAAUUUG